This 427-nucleotide ribosomal RNA is filed under the name uncultured bacterium. RNAcentral's name for it is "bacterial SSU rRNA". It matches the Rfam family "Bacterial small subunit ribosomal RNA", at positions 354 to 796 of the family's 1533-position model. The record is from RNAcentral.
GUGGGGAAUUUUCCGCAAUGGGCGAAAGCCUGACGGAGCAACGCCGCGUGAGGGAUGAAGGCCUCUGGGCUGUAAACCUCUUUUAUCAAGGAAGAAGAUCUGACGGUACUUGAUGAAUAAGCCACGGCUAAUUCCGUGCCAGCAGCCGCGGUAAUACGGGAGUGGCAAGCGUUAUCCGGAAUUAUUGGGCGUAAAGCGUCCGCAGGCGGUCUUACAAGUCUGUCGUUAAAGCGUGGAGCUUAACUCCAUUUCAGCGAUGGAAACUGUAAGACUAGAGUGUGGUAGGGGCAGAGGGAAUUCCCGGUGUAGCGGUGAAAUGCGUAGAUAUCGGGAAGAACACCAGUGGCGAAGGCGCUCUGCUGGGCCAUAACUGACGCUCAUGGACGAAAGCCAGGGGAGCGAAAGGGAUUAGAAACCCCUGUAGUCC